RNAcentral lists this unclassified non-coding RNA (21 nucleotides) under Mus musculus (house mouse). RNAcentral's name for it is "oocyte_clustered_small_RNA10698". Lineage: Eukaryota; Metazoa; Chordata; Mammalia; Rodentia; Muridae. The record is from RNAcentral.
UUGCACCGCUGCCAGUUUCGU